CAAGAGCCAAUCCGUCUCUGUUGCAAUAGAGUGGAAUAAUUUUUAAGUAGAGGUGAUAAACCUAUCGAACUUAGAGAUAGCUGGUUUUUUAAGAAAAGAAUUUUAGUUCAACCCUCAGUCUCAAAUUAUAAAAAUAAUUAAAUUAGACUUAGGAGUUAUUCAAAUAAGGAACAACUUAUUUGAGACAGGAUACAACCUAGGAUAUAGGGUAAGAUAUAUUAAAUUUUUAACAAGUAGGCCUAAAAGCAGCCAUCUUUAAAAAAGCGUCAAAGCUUAGUUCUAAAAAUUUUUUAAUACCUGCAACUUCUUCUAACCCUUAUUUACUAUUAAAAAAUACCAUAACAUUAUGGAAGCUAUUAUGCUAGAACAAGUAACAAGAAAAAGAUUUUUCUCCAAAAUAUAAGCUUAAGCCACAAUUAGACAAACUACCGGCAAUUAACGUUCAUUAACUAUUUUUAGUAACACCAACAAGAAAACACUACAUUUUUAAACGUCAACCUUACACUAGAACAU
This 513-nucleotide ribosomal RNA is filed under the name Boophis miadana. Its description in RNAcentral is "partial 16S ribosomal RNA". The stretch from base 1 to 365 matches the Rfam family "Bacterial large subunit ribosomal RNA", at positions 769 to 1300 of the family's 2925-position model. Lineage: Eukaryota; Metazoa; Chordata; Amphibia; Anura; Mantellidae. The record is from RNAcentral.